Molecule: unclassified non-coding RNA, 636 nt
Filed under: Hevea brasiliensis (rubber tree)
Lineage: Eukaryota; Viridiplantae; Streptophyta; Magnoliopsida; Malpighiales; Euphorbiaceae
Source: RNAcentral
GGAAACAAUCUUUGUUUCUAAUGGUGAGCACAUUACUGCACUUUGAUUUGUUGAUUCACUUGUUAAAAAAUAAGUAAAAGUUGUAUGCUGAUUCAGAUCAAAAUCUCUCUCUGCUCCUUUGCUGGAGUUUUUUUUUGGGGAAGGUGGUAUUCUGAGUUUAAGGUGAAACAUGUAGGAUUUGCCUUGUAGAAUGAUCUGUGAUAAAGUUUUCCAUUUGCUCCUGCCAUUUUUAACUCUUUCAAUGAUGGUUUUCCAGUAACCAAUAUCAAACUGCAAUUAGAUCUCCCAAUACACCAUCACCCUGUUUGAGGUGUUUCAAUACACAUGAUUACACAGCAAAUAUAGUGAUUGGUUAUAGUUUGAAGAUCAUAAAUGUUCUUUUUUUUUUUGGCUUAAUGGCAACAUCCUUAACAAGUGUUUUUAUCGCUCAAAUCUAAAACUCAAGCAAUUUUUUUCACAUUCACAUGUGUGGGUUUUAAUUCAUCUGCAAAAUGUGACAUACAUUAGAAAUAAGGACCUAGAGCUAGAGCCUGCAAUUGAUUCUGAGAUUUGGCUUUGUUCUUAUGCAAUGGCAUGAUAUAUCCUUAAAGCUGAGUGAUAUGCUUUUCCCCAGGGUUGUUACUGGUCACUGGCCUA